AACGAACGCUGGCGGCAUGCCUAACACAUGCAAGUCGAACGAGACCUUCGGGUCUAGUGGCGCACGGGUGCGUAACGCGUGGGAACCUGCCCUUAGGUUCGGAAUAACUCCCCGAAAGGGGUGCUAUACCGGAUAAUGUCUUCGGACCAAAGAUUUAUCGCCUUUGGAUGGGUCCGCGUUGGAUUAGCUAGUUGGUAGGGUAAAAGCCUACCAAGGCGACGAUCCAUAGCUGGUCUGAGAGGAUGAUCAGCCACACUGGGACUGAGACACGGCCCAGACUCCUACGGGAGGCAGCAGUGGGGAAUAUUGGACAAGGGGCGAAAGCCUGAUCCAGCAAUGCCGCGUGAGUGAUGAAGGCCUUAGGGUUGUAAAGCUCUUUUACCCGGGAUGAUAAUGACAGUACCGGGAGAAUAAGCUCCGGCUAACUCCGUG
Molecule: ribosomal RNA, 432 nt
Filed under: uncultured bacterium
Lineage: Bacteria
Description: partial 16S ribosomal RNA
Rfam family: Bacterial small subunit ribosomal RNA
Source: RNAcentral